This is a long non-coding RNA of Carassius carassius (crucian carp), 986 nucleotides long. RefSeq lists it as uncharacterized. Lineage: Eukaryota; Metazoa; Chordata; Actinopteri; Cypriniformes; Cyprinidae. The record is from RefSeq and is a predicted model, not a curated record. The transcript has 3 exons.
UGGUAGCUGUCUAACUCUCUCUCUCCCUCAGGCUGGAAUUGUAUGAUUGUGAAGACAUCGCGAACCUUAAAGGUUGAGAAGUGAACAGAUUAUACGGCGAACUGAGACGACGUGAAAAAGGGGAUUGGAAGUGGCAUUGAUGUGAGUACUAAGAGCCAGUCGAAAGUGCCCUGUAUAUUGACCUGGCGUUGUGUAGAUCUCUCCAGGAGGAGGAGGGUGGCCCUACCCCUAAUAUAGUGUGGUGGGAGAGCCGAAGGAAUACUUAUUGAAGUAGUCGCAACGACGACAUCACUAGCUAGGCCGCAUAUUCCAUCGCCAGAUCCGAACCAAGCGAAGUGAAGGAAGACGGGUGUCCUUUCCGUACACUGAGUGUGGUGGGUGAGUCUUCGUGCUGUGAAAACCUAUAAUUUUGACGUGGUGUUGUAUAUUGCUGUGGGCUGCUGUGUAUUGCCGUGUGUCCUGUCAGAUAAACCCCCGCCUUCACGCACUUCGGCGUGGGAGGACAAGGAGAUUGCUGGUUCUAGCCUAGUUCAGUACAGUAUAUGUUGUGAGCGUGCUUCAGAUCUCCGGAGAUAGCACGGUACGCUGUGUCCAGCCCAGAGGUGAGAGCCAUUCAAAGCAAACUAACUGUGCUAUUGUGCCCAAGUUGAUACCUGUGGAGAGAAAAGGAGAGAGAGAGUGAAUAACACGAGGAGGAAUAGAGCGAACCCUGUACUUACAGUACGCUGUGUCCAGCCCAGAGGUGAGAGCCAUUCAAAGCAAACUAACUGUGCUAUUGUGCCCAAGUUGAUACCUGUGGAGAGAAAAGGAGAGAGAGUGGGUAACACGAGGAGAGACUGAGGAAACCUGUACUUACGCCGCUGCCUGUGGAGAAAGAGAAAGCGACCGUUGCCUGUGGAGGAAGAGAAAGAGAGUGGGCACCUCGAGAACGAACUGUGUGAACCAGUACUUACCGUGAGCUGUAUUCAGCGAAGAGGAGGAAGAAG